This 500-nucleotide ribosomal RNA is filed under the name uncultured bacterium. RNAcentral's name for it is "partial 16S ribosomal RNA". It matches the Rfam family "Bacterial small subunit ribosomal RNA", at positions 30 to 523 of the family's 1533-position model. The record is from RNAcentral.
AUUGAACGCUGGCGGCAUGCCUUACACAUGCAAGUCGAACGGCAGCACGGGAGCAAUCCUGGUGGCGAGUGGCGAACGGGUGAGUAAAGUAUCGGAACGUGCCCAGUCGUGGGGGAUAACGUAGCGAAAGUUACGCUAAUACCGCAUACGAUCUAUGGAUGAAAGCGGGGGAUCGCAAGACCUCGCGCGAUUGGAGCGGGCGAUAUCAGAUUAGGUAGUUGGUGGGGUAAAGGCUCACCAAGCCGACGAUCUGUAGCUGGUCUGAGAGGACGACCAGCCACACUGGGACUGAGACACGGCCCAGACUCCUACGGGAAGCAGCAGUGGGGAAUUUUGGACAAUGGGCGAAAGCCUGAUCCAGCCAUGCCGCGUGCAGGAUGAAGGCCUUCGGGUUGUAAACUGCUUUUGUACGGAACGAAAAGGUUUGGCCUAAUAAGCUGAGCUCAUGACGGUACCGUAAGAAUAAGCACCGGCUAACUACGUGCCAGCAGCCGCCGUAA